ACGGGUGCGUAACACGUAUGUAACCUACCCAUAUCAGGGGGAUAGCCUCUCGAAAGAGAGAUUAAGCCCGCAUAAAAUCAGAUUAUGGCAUCAUAGACUGAUCAAGUAUUUAUAGGAUAUGGAUGGGCAUGCGGAACAUUAGCUAGUUGGUAAGGUAACGGCUUACCAAGGCUACGAUGUUUAGGGGAUCUGAGAGGAUGACCACCCACACUGGUACUGAGACACGGACCAGACUCCUACGGGAGGCAGCAGUAAGGAAUAUUGGUCAAUGGACGGAAGUCUGAACCAGCCAUGCCGCGUGCAGGAAGACGGCCCUACGGGUCGUAAACUGCUUUUGUACCGGAAUAAACCUCGAUUCGUGAAUCGAGCUGAAUGUACGGUAAGAAUAAGGAUCGGCUAACUCCGUGCCAGCAGCCGCGGUAAUACGGAGGAUCCGAGCGUUAUCCGGAUUUAUUGGGUUUAAAGGGUGCGUAGGCGGCCUAUUAAGUCAGGGGUGAAAGACGGUAGCUUAACUAUCGCAGUGCCUUUGAUACUGAUAGGCUUGAAUGUACUUGAGGUAGGCGGAAUGUGACAAGUAGCGGUGAAA
This 586-nucleotide ribosomal RNA is filed under the name uncultured bacterium. Its description in RNAcentral is "bacterial SSU rRNA". It matches the Rfam family "Bacterial small subunit ribosomal RNA", at positions 102 to 686 of the family's 1533-position model. The record is from RNAcentral.